This 2411-nucleotide long non-coding RNA is filed under the name Homo sapiens (human). RNAcentral's name for it is "ZNF561 antisense RNA 1". The record is from RNAcentral. Lineage: Eukaryota; Metazoa; Chordata; Mammalia; Primates; Hominidae.
CUAGCCGGUGGUUCAGGUGGCCGGUCGGGCUGGAAGGGCGGGGAUGAGGGAUGGGACGCAUCCCCGGGGGAUGCUCCUCCAAAGCUUUUAUCGGGCGAGCGCAGUGGCUCACGCCUGUAAUUCCUGCACUUUGGGAGGCUAAGAGAUGGGGUUUCACCAUAUUGGCUAUGCUGGUCUCGAACUCCUGACCUUGUGAUCCACCUGCCUUGGCCUCCCAAAGUGCUGGGAUUACAGGAUGAAAGGCUUCCUAGCACAAACACCACCCCUGGAGUUCCCGGUACAUCAAUACCAGCCUGGGGAUCACGUUCUCAUCAAGAGUUGGAAGAGGGAAAGCUUGAACCAGCUUAGGAGGACCUCAUCUGGUACUCUUGAUGAAUGAAACAGCAAUCUGAAUGGCUGAAAAAGGAUGGACCCAGCACUCCAGGGAGAAAACUUGGCAUUCUUUGGGAAUCUAACAGGAUGCAGUGAACCCAAGCCUUUUGAAGAGCUCACCAAUCAGACUGCCCUUGUCUAUCCAUGAGCAGAUGUUUGAUAGUAUUGCGGAGGCCCUCUAGUGGGUAUGCUGCCAAGCAACUGGAGUGGCACUUGGGCUCUAAUCCAGUUGUCUAUCCCUUUCACCCUGGCAUUUCAUCAGCCAAACAAAAACCAACUAACUCAGAAAAAAAGGAAAGCCCCUCAAGGGUCCUUUGACCCCGAUAUCUACAUAGAUGCUAUCGGGGUCCCCUGAGGGGUACCAAACGAAUUCAAAGCUCGAAAUCAAAUAGCUGCUGGAUUCAAGUCUGUCCUUUUCUUGUGGUCUACUAUAAAUAAAAAUGUAGACUGGAUAAAUUACAUAUACUAUAACCAACAACGAUUUGUCAGUUACACCAGGGAUGCCAUUAAAGGAAUAGCUGAACAAUUGGGUUUCACCAGCCAAAUGGCCUGGGAAAAUAGAAUAGCUCUUGACAUGAUAUUAGUGGAAGUCCAAUGUUGUACCUGUAUCCCCAAUAAUACAGCCCCUGAUGUAACUAUCACUAAGGGUCUAUAAGGCCUCACCACUCUAGGAAAUGAACUAGCUGAAAAUUCGGGAAUGAAUGAUCCCUUUACAGGUGUAAUGGAAAAAAUGGUUUGGUAGAUGGAAAGGACUAAUGGCCUCUAUUCUCACCUCCCUUGUGAUCAUAAUAGGGGUGCUCAUUCUCUUAGGGUGCUGUAUUAUACCCUGUGUCUGCGGACUAGUUCAAAAGCUCAUAGAAACAGCCCUUACCAAGACCUCCCACAACUCUCCCCCACCCUAUUCAGAUAAACGUUUAUUUCUAAGCAACCAAGAAGAGCAGUGAAGCCAGAUCCUGUUAGAAAUAUAUGAAGAGGAAGGACUACAAAAUCAAAAGGGGAAAAUUAUUAGACAAAAUGAGUUGCUCUACAAAGGUCCAACUUCGUUGUCCUUUGUUCUGUAACCUUUGUUCUGUAAACUGCCCUUCCCGCAGAAACUGUCUUUCCCGCCGACCAAAACUGCCCUUCACUAUCACUGUAAUCCAUACCCCUACUCUAUUUGAAACUGCCAAUCGGGAUCAGCUUACAUUGUGUGGUUCAACCACCAGCCAAUGAGGAAAAAACACAGAAGCAAAAGCUAUGAUGCAUUAGGGUUAAAAACCCCUUCCUUUCCCUGUCCAAUGUGCUCUUGAGACUGCUACAGGCGCAAGCAGCCACCUUCUGCAGAAGUAAACCUUGCCUUGCUGAGAAAUUUUUCUUUUGAGUGCUGGUCUCUCUCUGUGGCACCAAGAACUUAUUUCUAACAUGGAGUGAUUUCCAAGAUAGAUGGUUAAGUGAAAAUAAAAACUGUUGCCAGGCACGGUAGCUCAUGCCUGUAAUCCCAGCACUUUGGGAGUCUGAGGAGGUUGGAUUAUUUGAGGUCAGGAGUUUGAGACCAGCCUAGCCAACAUGGUGAAAUCCUGUCUCUUCUAAAUAUACAAAAAAUUAGCCGGGCGUGGUUGUGGGUGCCUGUAAUCCCAGCUACUUGGGAAGCUGAGGCAGAAGAAUUGCUUAAACCCAGGAAGCAGAGGUUGCAGUGAGCCGAGAUCACAGCACUGCACUCCAGCCUGGGUGAUAGAGUGAGACUCGGUCUCAAAAACAAUAAUAAUAAUAAUAAUAAUACAAAUAAAAAAAUGAAAAUAAAGGCCAGGUGCUGUGGCUCACCCCUCUAAUCCCAGCACUUUGGGAGGCUGAGGCAGGUGGAUCACAAGGUCAGGAGUUCAAAACCAGCCUGGCCAAGAUGGUGAAACCCCGUCUCUACUAAAAAUACAAAAAUUAGCUGGGCACAGUGGCAGGCGCCUGUAAUCCCAGCUACUUGGGAGGCUGAGGCAGGAUAAUUGCUUAAACCUGGGUGGCAGAGGUUGCAGUGAGCCAAGAUCAUGCCACUGCACUCCAGCCUGGGC